ACUCAGGGCGGGGUGCAAGUCCCCACCGGUGGUUAAAGUCCACGAGCGGGCGGCAGUUUUUCUUAAUUGCCGCUGUCAGCAGAGCCGGUGUGAUUCCGGUACCGACGGUAACAGUCCGGAAGAAAGAGUG
RNAcentral lists this non-coding RNA (130 nucleotides) under human gut metagenome. RNAcentral describes it as "FMN riboswitch (RFN element)". It matches the Rfam family "FMN riboswitch aptamer (RFN element)". Rfam says of the family: The RFN element is a highly conserved domain that is found frequently in the 5'-untranslated regions of prokaryotic mRNAs that encode for flavin mononucleotide (FMN) biosynthesis and transport proteins. The record is from RNAcentral.